GAUGAACGCUGGCGGCGUGCCUAAUACAUGCAAGUCGAGCGAACGGACGAGAAUCUUGCUUCUCUGAUGUUAGCGGCGGACGGGUGAGUAACACGUGGAUAACCUACCUAUAAGACUGGGAUAACUUCGGGAAACCGGAGCUAAUACCGGAUAAUAUUUUGAACCGCAUUGUGCAAAAGUGAAAGACGGUCUUUCUGUCACUUAUAGAUGGAUCCGCGCUGCAUUAGCUAGUUGGUACGGUAACGGCUUACCAAGGCAACGAUGCAUAGCCGCCCUGAGAGCGUGAUCCGCCACCCUGGAACUGAGACACGGUCCCGACUCCUACGGGAGGCCGCAGCAGGGAAUCUUACGCAAUGGGCGAAAGCCUGACGGAGCACCGCCGCGUGAGUGAUGAAGGUCCUCGGAUCGUAAAACUCUGUUAUUAGGGAAGAACAUAUGUGUAAGUAACUGUGCACAUCUUGACGGUACCUAAUCAGAAAGCCACGGCUAACUACGUG
RNAcentral lists this ribosomal RNA (497 nucleotides) under uncultured bacterium. RNAcentral describes it as "partial 16S ribosomal RNA". It matches the Rfam family "Bacterial small subunit ribosomal RNA", at positions 28 to 507 of the family's 1533-position model. The record is from RNAcentral.